This 38-nucleotide ribosomal RNA is filed under the name Rheedia sp. US:Redden4237. RNAcentral describes it as "partial 26S ribosomal RNA". The record is from RNAcentral. Lineage: Eukaryota; Viridiplantae; Streptophyta; Magnoliopsida; Malpighiales; Clusiaceae.
GCGACCCCAGGUCAGGCGAGACUACCCGCUGAGUUUAA